GUAAGUGUGUGAAGUAAGAGGUAGUGGGAGUGACGAAAUAAGGACAGGUUGAGCCCAGACUGAACAGUAACAUAAGAAUAAACCUCUUGAGGACUGGUGGAUCCAAUAAAGGAGAAGCUGAGAGAGCUUGUUUAUAGGGAAAGACAGGAACAUCUCUCCUGCUUGCCCUAAAGGCCUGUUAACAUCUCCUCCAUCAAGUUCCUGGUUAGACUCUAGGAGUUCAAUAUCAACAGCUGAAAGGAAGGGAUUCUGAACCUCAUAUGCAGCCACAGUUCUGGAGGCAUUUGUCUCUGGGGAGAGAUCCUCAGCAUCCUGGGUAGACUCCGCAGACCUCUGUGCUUCUGCUCGAGCACAUCCACACUUGGGUACUGUGCAAGUCUAAGAGACAGGACCAAAUUUCUUAACUUCAGGAGACACAAAAAUAAUCAGAAAUGGUGCAUUUGCUGGUGAAGAACAGGAAGAGAUUCUGUCUGGACCCCUCAAAGAGUCUCUGUGUGCACUAACUGGAUUAGUCCUGUCAAAGCCCUCUGAGAAAGGAUUCUGCUUCCUUUCAAAGCUAUGGCUAUAAGGAGGUGACCACCGGCUCCCAUCACUUCCCCACACAUCUGUCUCCACUUUUCCUCAUCUGAGAACGGCCUUGGUCCACCUCUAUCAUCUCUGCGGCCCCUCCUGCUCUAGUUGAUACACCAACCCAAGUCAAAAGAAAGUACGCAAACCAGUAUACACACUCGAGUGUAACAAGUGAAUAAAUGGCAAGAAAACACAGUGUGCCAAACACUGAUCUGGUCGCAGAUUACCGCUCCUUUGGCAGGCAACUAACAAGCCAAGCUACAAAGCUGCUUCUGCUUUUCCCAGGUCCAGGACCAUCAAGUCAUAAGAAGUCAGGGCAAAGGAUAUUUGCCAACACUCUGCCCUCACCCAAACUUGGCCACAGCACAUGGAAGGUCACCUCGUAACAAUUCUUUCUCAACAGUGUCCAAACUUAAUGCCCACAUCAGGCCAGAUCACCAUAAAGCUCUAUGUCUGGGCUGGCUUAUUCCAGUCUGGCUCACAGUCUAAGGCUGGUAGGAGGUCUUUACCUGCAGUGCAUGCAUGGGCAUGAGGGGUCACGAGCAUGGUUCUGGAAACCCUUGAAAUUUUAAGCAAAUUAUGUGCAUCUUCUGGGGAGACAGCUUAUUAUUUUCCUCUGAUUUUCCAAGGAGCCUUUGACUCUAAAGGGUAAGAAUCACAACAGUCGUAAUGGAGUCUUCAGCCUUUAUCAAGGGUCUAUGUGAGAACCAGCAACAAGAAAUACCUUCCUCAGCAUGGCCUGGUGAAAACAAGCAUCAGUGGGCUACUCUGAGGCAUGUAAACCAUGUUGGGCCAUCUCAAUGCAAAGAUCCAAGCGUUUCUUAGCGUACAGAAGAAGGAAGAGUUUUUCUCUCUUGAUAAACUGGAAUCUCACCUGGGUAUAGAAUAGGAUAAUCCGUGUUUCCUUCUUUGCCUUUUACUGCUAGCUUGAACUCUUUUUCAACCUCACCAUGGCUGUCAGGCAGUUCUUUUUUGCAAGCUCUAGACUUUCCUCUGAAAUGCCUUUUCCCCACUUGGCAUCCUCACUCCUCCUGUAAGACCUGGCCCUUGUGUCAGCCUACUCAACACUUCCAGGCAGAGCUGAGCACAUACACACACUUCUGAUAUUAAGCAGAUCGGUUUUCUAGAAUGAUGUGCAUAUGUAUCUAUCUUCCUCACAAGAGCCCAGGAGCGCAUGAAAUCCAGUCUUAUUGGUUUUGGUACCCUCAGCACCUAGCACAGAUCGGUGUGUAAAAACAAACGUUCAAUGAGAGGAUAAAUCAAUCCAUGGAUGAAUGAGCAAAUAAUUAUAGUAUGUGUUUUCCUAAAAUAUUCUUUGACUUUUUCAACAAUGUGUGAGCCUCAGUAAUAACGAUUGACAGGCAGAGCAAACAGAUUCCCCCACAGCCCCCAGUGCCUUCAUUUCCCAGAUGAGGAAAGUGAGAUUGCAACAGACAUCAGCAGAGGAGUCCAGCAGCUCCCCCAGGAGCCACACCCAGGCCAGCCGCCGGCCACUCCGUGGCUGUGUUCUAAGAACACGCAGCACCUCCACAGCACUUGGCAGGUUUUGCCACAGGCAUGCCACUUUGCCUUGCUUUUUGCUCUUUUCCCUCCUUUUGCUGCUCCCUGGUUUAGGGUCCUCCCCACCUGUGCUCAGAGCACAUAGUAGGGAGACAACUGAGCAGGAGAAUUCACAGGAGAGAAAGUAUGGUGGCUGGCAGAUGCCCACUGUAUCCCCAGCAGGGUCUGGAAACCUCAGUCUUCAUGAUCCUUUGUCAUCAACCAUAGUAAGAGUUCCCAUUACUAUGGGAACUUGGUUAAUUCCCAUUAACCAAGUAAUGGGAAACGUGUUGACUCUUUCAACUUAUUUCAACAUCAGGAUGCAGAGAGCUGAUUCAUGCCCAGAAGUGCAUGACCCAUGAGCCUAAAUAGCUGGGUUUACUCUGCUUCUUCUCACUGGAAUUAGUCUGAUAAAAAUCUCAGGGCGGCCAGGCGCAGUGGCUCACGCCCGUAAUACCAACAUUUUGAAAGACCAACAUGGGCUGAUCACGAGGUCAAGAGAUAGAGACCAUCCUGGGCAACAUGGUGAAACCCCGUCUCUACUAAAAACACAAAAAGUAGCUGGGUGUGGUGGCGCGCCUGUAAUAUCAGCUACUCGGGAGGCUGAGGCAGGAUAAUCACUUGAACCCGGGAGGUGGAGGUUGCAAUGAGCCAAGAUCGCGCCACUGCACUCCACCCUGGCGACAGAGCGAGACUCCAUCUCAAAAAAAAAAUCUCAGGACGGCUCCCCUCAACAAGCAACGUCAACAAUUUUUUUUA
Molecule: long non-coding RNA, 2868 nt
Organism: Callithrix jacchus (white-tufted-ear marmoset)
Lineage: Eukaryota; Metazoa; Chordata; Mammalia; Primates; Cebidae
Source: RefSeq, a predicted model, not a curated record